CUGCGCAACGUUAAUCGACGCAGGGUUAGUCGGUCCCUAAGGCGAGGCUGAAAAGCGUAGUCGAUGGAAAACAGGUUAAUAUUCCUGUACUUCUGGGUAUUGCGAUGGAGGGACGGAGAAGGCUAGGCCAGCCUGGCGUUGGUAGUCCAGGUUUAAGGUGGUAGGCUGAGAUCUUAGGUAAAUCCGGGAUCUUAAGGCCGAGAG
This 204-nucleotide ribosomal RNA is filed under the name Pseudomonas avellanae. Its description in RNAcentral is "partial 23S ribosomal RNA". It matches the Rfam family "Bacterial large subunit ribosomal RNA", at positions 1355 to 1562 of the family's 2925-position model. The record is from RNAcentral. Lineage: Bacteria; Pseudomonadati; Pseudomonadota; Gammaproteobacteria; Pseudomonadales; Pseudomonadaceae.